UACGGGGGGAGCAAGCGUUGUUCGGAUUUACUGGGCGUAAAGGGCGCGUAGGCGGCCUGUGCAAGUCAGUUGUGAAAUCUCCGAGCUUAACUCGGAACGGUCAACUGAUACUGCUCGGCUAGAGUGCGGAAGGGGCAACUGGAAUUCUUGGUGUAGCGGUGAAAUGCGUAGAUAUCAGGAGGAACACCGGUGGCGAAGGCGGCUUUCUGGACAGAUACCGACGCUGAGGCACGAAAGCUAGGGGAGCAAACAGG
This 254-nucleotide ribosomal RNA is filed under the name uncultured bacterium. RNAcentral describes it as "partial 16S ribosomal RNA". It matches the Rfam family "Bacterial small subunit ribosomal RNA", at positions 524 to 776 of the family's 1533-position model. The record is from RNAcentral.